AAAAAUUUUCAUAUAUCAAAAGACUCUUAAUGUCAAAGGACCUCCCCCCGCCAGAAAAAAAAAAAAAUUUGGAAAAAACUGUACUGUUUGAUAAUGUUAAUGCCCCUAAGAAAUGGUUCAAGCAAAUGCAUUAAAAAAGAAAAGUACAGAAUAGAAAACAAAAACAAUGAAUAUACACAGGAAAUUCACAAAAGAAAUCCAAAGGGCCAGUAAGCAUGAAAACUCUAUCCUCCAGUAGUGAUAGGAAAUGCAAAUUAAAGAAAAAAGAGCCAUCAUUUGCCACACAUCGGCUGGCAAAUAUUAAUGCUAUCCAGUGGUAACCCAGACAAGGAAAAAUGGGUACCUACAUUCUACCAGUGGUAGAAGCAUGAACUGCUAUUAUGUUUUGGGAGAGUAAUCUGGCAACACAUAUUACCAACAAAAACGAGCAACGUACUUUAAUCCAGCAAUCCCAUUAUGGGGAAUCUACCUUACAGAAAUAAAGGAUCUAUGUACAGUGAUAUUUACUGUGAAACUUUUAAAGUGGCUAAAAUUUGGAAACCAUCUGAAUAUAUAGAUAGAUAAAUAUCAAUAUGGAAACAACUGAGUAUUUUAUUGUACAUUCAUAUCAUGAACUAUCUGUUCUACAGUCCAGCCAGGUCUGUGGCUCCUGCACUGAAGGGAUGACAAUGAGAAAAGUUACAGAUGGCUAUGGUAUAAUCUCAUGUUUAUAACAAUGCCCAGACAUCUAUGUUUUGCAAGACAGAUAGUCUGGUGAGGCAAGAUAUACACCGUACUGCUACAGUGGUUAUCCCGGGGGUGAUUAAAAUGAUGGUGGUGGAGAUUAACUUUUUAAAAAAUCCUUGAAUUGUUUUUGGUUGCAAUAAGCAGCAUUUUAUUUACCUAUUUGACUUUAUUUUGCAUUUAAUUUACUUCAUGACUUUAAAAAAAAGGUGUCAUAAAGCUAAACAUGCUUUUCCGACUGUGUCCCCUCACCUCCCUGUCCACUGGGGGUACAGUCAGCUCCCUGUCCCCCCCCCCACAACCCACACAGCAGGUGGGUGGUACAUCUCUCCACCCCACACAGGAGUCUUUAGGUUGUUGCUAGUGACCUUUCUAUGCCUUACUCCACAUUUUCACUUCCAAGAUCAAGACUUCCUCUGA
This 1143-nucleotide long non-coding RNA is filed under the name Capra hircus (goat). RNAcentral describes it as "lncRNA (ENSCHIG00010031961.1)". Lineage: Eukaryota; Metazoa; Chordata; Mammalia; Artiodactyla; Bovidae. The record is from RNAcentral.